UUUCCGUAGGCGAACCUGCGGAAGGAUCAUUCAUAAUAAGUGUUUAUGGCACUUUUUUAAAUCCAUAUCCACCUUGUGUGCAAUGUCAGGGUUGAUUUUUCUCUCGAGAGGAUCAGCCCCAAACAUCAACUAUAUCUCAACUCUUUGUCUGAAAAAUAUUAUGAAUAAAACAAUUCAAAAUACAACUUUCAACAACGGAUCUCUUGGCUCUC
Molecule: unclassified non-coding RNA, 212 nt
Filed under: plant metagenome
Description: partial contains small subunit ribosomal RNA, internal transcribed spacer 1, and 5.8S ribosomal RNA
Source: RNAcentral